GUGACGUUGCAUAUGAUAAUUUAGUAAAAUGGCUGAUCUCAUGAUAUUAGGGGCAACGCUUAUAUCAUUGUCUUGUAUAUUUUCGUUCUUGGUCACUCAUGUCAUUUAUUUACUAUUAUCCCGGUUUCAGUACUUGAUAGUCUGAACCUUACGUGUAAUAUUCCAUUAGGCUACAUGCCUCAGGUACUGCAGACGGUGCAAGGUCCAAGUGACUUACCUAUGGAAACAUUUCACGUGGGAUUUGCGGCUUGACAUAUUAGGGAGUUGUCCAUAGAGCGGCGUAUGCAUGAUAAUUUUAUGAGAUCCAAAAGGUUGCCUUAUAGUUGACUGCAACCAGCUAUUUUACAGUAUACUAAUUAAAGUAAUACAGUUGUGAGAAGCCAGACUUCACCCGGUCGAUCUUUAUAACACAUUUAUGAAUACGUUAUCAAUACGUCAAUUACAACAUAAGUGCUAACAUAUCUUUAUUUAUAUCUGAGCAUAUUAGUAAACCUUAUAUAUUAUUAAUAGAACUUGCUACAACUUCUUGUUUCAUAAUUUUCUUUAUCUUAAAGUAGGAAUAUUUUGAUCUCCUGAUGUAUCCCACAAUGGCAUUUUAUAGGAAGAAGGUAGGGUUUAUUAUAGUAGUCUUGUAAAUAGUAUUCAAUAAUUUUGAUAGGAUUUUAAUAAUUUCCUAUUGGUUCAAUGCACUUAAAAUAGUGUUUCAUUUUAUUGACAUGGUUUAAUAUUCGUCUUUCUUUAAGAACGGAUAUGUUUUGUGCUUGUUGGAACAUAUUUCAGAUUUUAUUUUAUCAUGUAACAUGUCUCACACCUCAGAGAGCUUGGGUUGUUAUUUAUCAUGAUGUUGGUCUAUAUUUACCACUAAAUGAUCACGCCAUACCUAAUUUAAAUGAGAUUUUAGUUUGUCUUUAUCUGUGACAUAUUUUGUUAUGUUUGUGUACAGGUUAAAUUGGGCAGUCAGGUUUUUGUUCCGUCUUGUUUUCCUGACUUAGGUAUUUGGCCCUAGUAAUCAAGGCGGUAUAUCCGAAUGGGUCCUAAUCAGACUUCAUUGGAUAUAGAGCUCAUAAAUUAUUGAAUCAUAUUCAAUCAAUUUUAAUGCAAUAAAUCAAAUUUAUUAGCAGUUAAUACAUUGUUUAUUUUAUACUUCAUCCCUUUAGCCUAGACCCUUAUUUACUAAAUUUCAGUAUUACUUUCCAAAGGUUUCAAUAGAGUUGAGGAAAGUAACAGUAUUUCAGCUUACAAAGCUUUUGUAGUAGAGUUUAGUCAGGCUAAGACGUUACAAUAUGGUUUAAGCCGUAACCAGGAUAUUAACUUAUUAUUUAUUUUAUUUUCGUGCCUUUUAAGGCACAAUUUGAUGUUCGUGCAAUGGUCUGGGGUCGAAAGUGAGACAUGUUCUUUAUCUGUACUGUGUUCUAACAAGCAUUGUUUAUAUGUAAAACUGAACUUUUAGGCUGUUUCGUUUCGUAUACUUUCCUUCCAUCUUGAUAUAUUUUACUAGGUAUCGAUGUUUACAGAUGGUAUUACCGUGAUUUGUUUUAUAAUGCUUUGGUUUCUUUCAGUAUCAUGCACCAUACACUACAGUUUUCAAUUGACGUUUUACAAUUUAUCCGAUUUUUCAGUAGAGUUUUAUGAUAUAUUUUGAUUUAAAUUACAAUGAUUUAAUAAUGAUUAAUUUAAUUUAAAAAUUUGAUUUAUUCAAUUUUUAAUCUACACUAUUCGGUUUAGAUUUUAUGAGCUCUAUGAAAAUGUAUUUUGACAGUUUUAGUAUACCAACUUUAUUUUGGAAAUUUCUUCAUUUUAUUAUUUCCUUAACUUUCGUUGUAGUAGAAUCGUACAAUUUUAUUGUUUUGUUGAUAAAGGAACAAUAAUAUCAGUGUUGGAGCGAACGCUAUUGAUUUUCAUUUACUUGUACUGUGUGUGGUUAUAUAAUUUUAUAAUUUCCAGGAUACAUUAUUUUAUAUGGUACGUAUAAAUACAUAUGUUUAGUCUUUUACGUGUAAUAUUUUACAAUUGUGUACUAUUUAUAUAUCGACAUUUUUUUAUUUUAGUUUAGCCGCUAUGUGUGUCAGUCUCUCUCACAGUAGCUUAUAGAUGGUUGUAUUAAUUUGGACGCGGAUAUUUUAUUUUGAAAUUAUAUUUUAGCGAUGGCACUGCGAUAUAUCUUAAAAUCGGUCCUUUCAUUUUAUUGCAUUGGUGUUUAUUUUCAUGUUAGUGAUCUUAUUUUCAGUGUUCGCCGACAAAGUAGGCUAUUGAGUUGAUAGUGACAUUACCUUUGGUUCUAAAUUGCGGGUUUUUUGUGUUUUUUUAGUUAAAUUAUACCGGACGGUUGUUUUAUAGGUGCUAUAUAGUAAUUUUGUCAGUCAUGUUAUGUUGAUGUGAUAUCUUGUUACCUUAAAUAUAAUAAAACGUGACAGACAUGUUAUUUAUGUUUAUCGGUAUAUUAUUAAUAUUAUUAUAGCCUUUAGUUAGUUAGUUAGUGCUUCUGGGCAUUUUCCGCAAAUCGACAACCAUUGUGCCUAUUUUGCGUGAAACGAGGUAGCGCUACUCUAACCACCCUAGCUCCUCCACGAAGCCUAGCAAAGUUUCCAGGUUGCUAAUUGCCUCUCCUAGUGUGCAUGGAGUCCCUAGGUAUUUGUUCCUGUAUACUUCUACCUGUUUGCAGUCUAGGAGAAUAUGGUUUGUUGUUUCUUCUUCUUCCAUGCACGCUUUGCACAUGGGGCUGUCUGUUUUACCCAUAUUGCGUAGGUGUUUGUUAAGUGUGUUAUGUCCUGUAAUUAAUCCUACUAUUUUACGUAGUUGGUGUCUAGGUGUUUUCAGUAGUAUUUUGGUAAGUUUGUGGUUCAGUUCCGGUAAAACAUCCUUGGUCUGCCUGCAUGUGUCCAUUUCAUUCCAGUAUUUAGUGUGCAGUUGUCUGUGAUGUAGGUCUAGCUGGUUGUGUAUAUAGGAUAUUGGUAGGGGUCCAUAUGCCGGCGUUUCUGAACCUUUCCUGGCCAGUUCGUCCGCUGCAUUGUUUCCUCCUGAUCCACUAUGUCCCUUUAUCCAUUGAAUUGUUACUUUGUUGCCUUCUUUGCUCACUUCCGUGAGGCUUCGAUGCUCAUUCGAGUAAGAGCUCUGAAUUAAGUUUGUCGCUGCAUAGCGCUUGUAGUACUGAUUUACUGUUUUUUUUAUACUACGUCGGUGGCAAACAAGCAUACGGCCCGCCUGAUAGUAAGCAGUUUCCGUAGCCUAUGUACGCCUGCAACUCCAGAGGAGUUACAUGGGCGUUGCCGACUCUAAACCCCCCUUUCACUCGUUGAGCUCUGGCAACCUUACUCACCGGCAGGAACACAACACUAUAAGUAGGGUCUAGUGUUAUUUGGCUGCGGGUUUCUGUAAGGUGGAGGUACUUCCCCAGUUGGGCUGACAGUAUUAGUAUUAGUAUAUUUUCGUGUUUCACUUGUCGUCUUGUUAUAGCAUUGCAAGCUUCUAUUAUUCCCACACAUUCAGCUUGGAAUACCGUGUUAUGUUCUCCCAGGGGUUUUGAGAUGUGUAUGUUCAGGUCCUCCGAGAAGACACCACAUCCUGUACCUUCAAAUGUUUUUGAGCCAUCUGUGAAUUUUCUUAGGUUUGUUUGGUCCAGUCCUUUUUUAGGAUCUUCUGUUAAUGAUAUGGCGUAUUCUUUCCAGAAGAUCAUAGUUUUGGUGUUUUGUCGAUGGGCGCCUCCAGCAUGGGUAGUUUAGAGAUUAUAUUUUCAUAGAUCUUCUUGUACGAUGAGCAGAAGGAUGUCCAUAGGUUUAGCUUUUUCAACCGAAGAGCCGUGGCAGCCAUUUCUUUUUGUAUGUAUAGGUGUAAUGGUAGGAGUCCUAGCAUUAUUUCUAGCGCCGCAGUCGGAGUAGUUCUCAUACAGCCCGUCGCAACCACACAUGCUAGUCUUUGUGUUUUGUUUAGUUGUCUACUACCGUGGUUAGCUGGGUGCGGGGCCACCAUACGACCGCGCCGUAGCUGAUCAUUGACAUUGAAGAGCAAGUCCCCAUCUCUUGCCCACCAUCCUCCGGCAUUGCCAAAAGACGACUGUUGCUUUGUUUAGUUUAUUGUCCAGGUGUUUGUUCCAGUUCAGUCUAUCAUCCAGGAUUAUGCCUAGGUAUUUUAUAUCCUUUGAAAGUGUCAAUCAUCUGCCAAAAAGGGUUGGCAGUUCGUAAGUACCCAGUUUUGUUUGUGUGUGAAGAGAAUUGUGUCGGGUUUUUUUUUGGUUUACCGAUAGGUCAUUCUCCUUACACUAUUUCUCUUCUAUUUUCAGUGCUGUCUGUGUGAGAUCCCACAGUGUGUUUAUUACUAGGCCGCUGAUUAUAGUCUUUAUUGCUGGAAACUAAACUGCACACAAUUGUUUAUCAGUUUAUGAGGUUUUCAGGAUUUAGUGUCCAGCGUGUCUCGUGACAUAUAGGCCUCUUCCAGCUUCUUCAAUUUUCCUCUAUCGUUUGCUAUUUUGGGCCAUCCUGUUCCUCUAAUUUGUAUAGUUAUUUUUAGUUGUCAUAGGGAAAUGUGUGCUUUUGAUUAAUUCUUAAAGAAUCUUUUUUUUUCUAUUUCGAGGCUCAUUUGAUUUCUAAAGGAUAUUAAAUGCACAGGUACGCAUAACUUUCUGCAUAUUCGAUAUUCAUCAUUGACUUUUUCGGCUAUAUUUUCUUUGUUUGUCAUUACUUUCGGUUUCGAUUUGUCAUAGCCUCACCAGAUACUCUGCUUGCCUCUGUGUUUAUCGGUUUUACAACUUCUUGUAAAUACUUGCGAUGUCAGUUGUUAUUUUUUAUUAGUAUUAUUACUCCGGUAAACUCCGUAAAUAUACUAAGGGCGAUUGUAACAGACUGACAUCUACAUUUAUUUAUUUACUCUCUUAGAAAUUAUUGAAUUUGUUUGGAGUGAAUUUCGCGCAUAAUAUUCGCACUUGUAAUGUGACAGUGGCAUCCGGUGACAUCUGGCGGUGAAUGACUAAACUAGCAGGUAGUUUACUCAUGAUAAUAUUGCAUAGUACAAUAUUUGUUUAUAAUAUAUUUUUCAAUAUAAAUUCUUAAGUAAUGUUUAUUGAAUAAUCGAUUAAACACAAUAAACUACUUCGUAAGCUUUUAAUUUAUUUAUGUUAUCUUUAGAGAUGCCAUCUGUUGUAAGGCAGAUCAAUCUAAAUACGCGGGAAUAAAAGUGACCAAUCAUAGACGAGGAUAGUAAAUAUUAUCCAAUCAAAACUCUGCAUUCUGGUUGGGCUUAGGAGUAGGAUUAACAUGGCGGUUGAGGGGUUCUCAUGGGGGAACGAGGUUAUUUAAGGAACUGCAAAGUGGAUUCGUGAUCUUUUGCCUUCAGCAGAGCGUCGAGUCAAGAAGGAAUCCUGUGAGUGUUAGGUUGUAAGAAAGCCAUGUGUCUAAGCUUGUUUGCAGAUACGUCUAUUAGCGGCCAUCUUCAGGAGAUAUGAAAAAGAACAGCGACUGCAAUGGACGACGCGCGGGUCGUGUUGACUUGAACCAUGGUUGUGAAGAACUGCGUGAGCCUACCACGGGCAGCUGCCGAAAGGGCUACAUUUCACGAGCAUCGGGUCGUAAAGGUUCUUAAAUUGUCACUGUGAGUGGCAAAUCAUAAGAAAACCGUGUAUUAGAGCUUGUUCGCAGAUACGAGUAUAAGCUGCCACCUUCGUUGGAAGCUUAGCGUGUGGAUACGGCCAACAUGGGCGGGAAGCUGUAGGAGCUUCAUCCGGACCAUGGGCGUGUUGAAAAACACAAAACCAUCAUGGGUCAGCUGCCAAACAACUGUGUUACGAUGCGGUAAUUUCAUAUACCUACUUAAUUAUUUGCAUAUCAUUUUAUAUCUUGAGGAAACCUAAAAUACAUAUUUCGUUCAUUCAUAGGCUCCAAUGUUUGCUUAAUAUCAGUAGGAUUGUAGGCUUGGUUGAUACCAACGAGUUGCCCAUAAAUAAAAUCAUUAUUUCUAUAUAUGAAUAGCGGGUAGGUUGAAUAGAUCGCGUUGGGUACCCUUCAUUGUGGAACGAGAUGACGAUUCUUGUGCUCUGUGAAUGCAAGUCGGAUUCUUGUACGAGAGUGUUAUUUUAACUACGACGGCAAAAUGUAUUGAGAUAUUUAAUUUCAUUUGUUCAGUGAAUUUCUAAAUCAUGUAUAUGCUUUUUAAAUAUAAUCAAUUUUGAAGAUAGGUAAAUCAGUGUUCGUGUGUAAUAUGAUUAUAGGGUAGGUAGAUGCAUUCAAUUACGAUAAGUACUUGAUUUGAGUUGUGAAAUCAUUAGCAAAUAAAUGAAUGUGUGUUUAGUAGUAAACGAGCGCGUUUAUUAUUGUGGAUUAACCGUUUACGAAAAGAAGUGGAACGUAUGUAUUUUCCAUGUUUUAAUUCAAUGGCAAGGGUGGAAUGUGUCUCGAUUUAGAUAUAGAUGGCAUAAGUAGAUGUGUUCAAUUAGGUUGAUAAAUAACUUUAGUUGUGUUACACUCGGCGGUCAUUUCUUUAUCGUUUUAUGUAGGUUUAGCCGUCAAUAUCAGUCAUUAUUACCAUAUAUAGUAUAACACGUAAAGUCAACGAACGUUGUAGGUAGUUUAAUUCAUGAAAUGUUUUAACAUAUAUUUAAAAUUAUUUAUUUCUGAAUUCUCGGUUCAUGUACGAGGAAUAUCGAGUCCUGUCAGCGGAUCCUAAGGGCGCCUGCUUCGUGUCCCGCCAUCAAUUCCUGGGGUGUUCUGCCUUCGAGAGCUUCUACGCUUCAAAUCAAGAUGCAGACUUCGCAGAUGUGGGCGAAGGCGAAGAUUCACUCCGGUGCAAGCUAGUAGACACGGUGCGUUGGUUCUGAUUUAUAUGUUAUCUCAAUCUUGACCUGACAUAUCUAUAUAUCACAUACUUUCAUGUUUCAGUGUCAGUGAAUUACAGCACUUUGAUUGAAAAUGUAGGUUGAUAGGUUGAGUGUAUUAAUUAUGAUGUAAUACGCAGCUACAUAAUUCACCUUUUACAAUACUACAAAAAUAAUUGGUUGUGUAAUUAUUUGUGCGCGCGUAUAUAGGUAUACGGCCACGUUUGUUUAAUUAGUAACCAAGUUCAUAAACUAGAUUGAUAUAAUUGUUUGGUGAAUGAGUCUUACAAAAUACUUAUUUAUUUAGAAUGUUAUACAAAUGGCUAAUGACGUAAUAUUAUGUCGCAAUACAUUAUAGGUUUUAUUCAAUGACUUCUUACAGUAGCUUAAUUACCGUGGCUACUGUUAUAGGUAUUCUGUACGUCACUAAGUUUAGAUCCUUUGACUUCCACUAUUAUAGUUUGAUUAUCAUAAUUGAAAUGAUUCUUCCUUUGAAUGCCUAGUUGUCUUUAUUCAUAUAGAUACUUAGCUUCAUAUAUUCCGUAGGGCGUAAAUGUUUAACUCGAUUAGAAUAUUAAGCACUAUUUUUGUCUCAAUUUCCGGUUCACGGUGGUUGCGGAGCGAGUCUUGUUCCAUCAGCGGCUUUCGAGUGUCUCGGUGUCUCCGAGCAUCCUCGUCGGUACCUGAUCAACCCCACUGCCACGGGCGCCCAGAUGCAAGACCUAUCUUCUACAUGAAGAGGCUGGCUGCACUACGCCGCAUCUGUAUCUCACGCCUGCACAUUGUAUCCAGUGCGCCGUCCAUUUGCGUGGAAUGAGAAUUGAUCCUGCCUUGCCUUGUCUUCUCAUCAUGAUGUGAGAGCAUCGAAGCCCCAUCAAGCAGAUCUUAAUACCUAGCGGUGACGUAACCUUUCAAUAAAUUAUACAAAAGGUUUUAAUUUCAUAGUCUAGUCAUUAUAGGAGUAUACAAGCGGUUUAAAUAAUAUUCACGAUUCCUAACUGCUUACUUAUUUGUAGGUAGAUAACUGGUGCCUAUUUGAUACUUAUUUUAUGAUCAUGAUUCCGUUUUAUAGGUACAUACCUAAGUAUAUUACGUAUGUUGAAAUGUUAUUGUGGGUGUAUAUAUUUUGAUCAUUUGGUAUAUAGUUUGAUCUGUAUUUGCCAAUGUAUUA
Long non-coding RNA from Cydia pomonella (codling moth), 7970 nucleotides. RefSeq lists it as uncharacterized. The record is from RefSeq and is a predicted model, not a curated record. Lineage: Eukaryota; Metazoa; Arthropoda; Insecta; Lepidoptera; Tortricidae. The transcript has 2 exons.